This is a long non-coding RNA of Papaver somniferum (opium poppy), 608 nucleotides long. RefSeq lists it as uncharacterized. The transcript is spliced from 3 exons. NCBI's taxonomy places the organism in Eukaryota, Viridiplantae, Streptophyta, Magnoliopsida, Ranunculales, Papaveraceae. The record is from RefSeq and is a predicted model, not a curated record.
UCAUUUUCUCCUCCUCUUUCUCUUUUCUUCUUCUCUUUUCUUCUUCUCGUCCUUCGCCGGUUGGUGAAUUAGGAAUCUGAAUUAGAGAUUUUUGUGAUCACGAGAAGCAGGGAACAAUCGAGUGUUAGUUGAUGGUGGUGGUUGAUUAUUCUGGUGAACUCAAAUCAGCAGACAAGUUAGUCUUUAUUAACAACGAUCGAUUCAAGGAUGAAGUCGUGGAUCGUGGAUCUCGAGGUAGGCAUGGCUUGUCAUCAAUUCAGGGUACUCAUUGAGAAAAAAACUUUUGGGAGACCAACAUAUUGCAGAGUUAUUUCUGCUUCUGCUAAUAAUGUUCAAAGGCAAACAUCAUCUGCUGCUCCUGCUCAACCUCAAAAUCAUUACCAGUGCCCCACAAAUAAUGGUGAAGGUAGUGACAAUGAUCGUGGUCGUGGACAAAGAGAAAACUUUCAUUCUUUUGGAAAUUAUCCUCAAUUUUCUCUUGCCCUUAUUUCUUAAAUUUGUAACUGUUAUGGUCACACUGCACUUAAUUGUUAAAAUAGGCAUGGUAAUGGAUACCAUGUGAAUCUAGUUGCAAUAAAUAUGGAUACUCAUGCUCCAACUUACAACUA